Molecule: ribosomal RNA, 297 nt
Filed under: uncultured Pseudomonadota bacterium
Lineage: Bacteria; Pseudomonadati; Pseudomonadota
Description: uncultured proteobacterium partial 16S ribosomal RNA
Rfam family: Bacterial small subunit ribosomal RNA
Source: RNAcentral
AACGAACGCUGGCGGCAGGCUUAACACAUGCAAGUCGAACGGGCGUAGCAAUACGUCAGUGGCAGACGGGUGAGUAACACGUGGGAACCUUCCUCGUAGUACGGGACAACUCAGGGAAACUUGAGCUAAUACCGUAUACGUCCGAGAGGAGAAAGAUUUAUCGCUAUGAGACGGGCCCGCGUCCGAUUAGGUAGUUGGUGGGGUAACGGCCUACCAAGCCGACGAUCGGUAGCUGAUCUGAGAGGAUGAUCAGCCACACUGGGACUGAGACACGGCCCAGACUCCUACGGGUGGCAG